This 1323-nucleotide ribosomal RNA is filed under the name uncultured bacterium. RNAcentral's name for it is "partial 16S ribosomal RNA". It matches the Rfam family "Bacterial small subunit ribosomal RNA", at positions 48 to 1344 of the family's 1533-position model. The record is from RNAcentral.
GUCGUACGCACUGGCCCAACUGAUUGAUGGUGCUUGCACCUAAUUGACGUUGGAUCACCAGUGAGUGGCGGACGGGUGAGUAACACGUAGGUAACCUGCCCCGGAGCGGGGGAUAACAUUUGGAAACAGAUGCUAAUACCGCAUAACAACAAAAGCCACAUGGCUUUUGUCUGAAAGAUGGCUUUGGCUAUCACUCUGGGAUGGACCUGCGGUGCAUUAGCUAGUUGGUAAGGUAACGGCUUACCAAGGCGAUGAUGCAUAGCCGAGUUGAGAGACUGAUCGGCCACAAUGGAACUGAGACACGGUCCAUACUCCUACGGGAGGCAGCAGUAGGGAAUCUUCCACAAUGGGCGCAAGCCUGAUGGAGCAACACCGCGUGAGUGAAGAAGGGUUUCGGCUCGUAAAGCUCUGUUGUUGGAGAAGAACGUGCGUGAGAGUAACUGUUCACGCAGUGACGGUAUCCAACCAGAAAGUCACGGCUAACUACGUGCCAGCAGCCGCGGUAAUACGUAGGUGGCAAGCGUUAUCCGGAUUUAUUGGGCGUAAAGCGAGCGCAGGCGGUUGCUUAGGUCUGAUGUGAAAGCCUUCGGCUUAACCGUAGGUGUGCUUCGGCUUCCGGGCGNCUUGNGUGCNGNNGNGGCCCGUGGCCCUCCCUGUGUCGCGGUGGNNUGCGUNGNUUUCUUUAGAAACCCCGGNGGCGGGNGCGGCNGUCNGGUCNGCNGCNGNCGCNGNGGCUCGNNNGCNNGGGGAGCCCUCUUGAGGNNNNNCCNNNNNNNNNCNNNCAANNNNNGAGGCCCUUACGGAAGGAAAGUUCCGCCCUUCAGUGCCGGAGCUAACGCAUUAAGCACUCCGCCUGGGGAGUACGACCGCAAGGUUGAAACUCAAAGGAAUUGACGGGGGCCCGCACAAGCGGUGGAGCAUGUGGUUUAAUUCGAAGCUACGCGAAGAACCUUACCAGGUCUUGACAUCUUGCGCUAACCUUAGAGAUAAGGCGUUCCCUUCGGGGACGCAAUGACAGGUGGUGCAUGGUCGUCGUCAGCUCGUGUCGUGAGAUGUUGGGUUAAGUCCCGCAACGAGCGCAACCCUUGUUACUAGUUGCCAGCAUUAAGUUGGGCACUCUAGUGAGACUGCCGGUGACAAACCGGAGGAAGGUGGGGACGACGUCAGAUCAUCAUGCCCCUAAUGACCUGGGCUACACACGUGCUACAAUGGACGGUACAACGAGUCGCAAGCUCGCGAGAGUAAGCUAAUCUCUUAAAGCCGUUCUCAGUUCGGACUGUAGGCUGCAACUCGCCUACACGAAGUCGGAAUCGCUAGUAAUCG